AUUGAACGCUGGCGGCAUGCCUUACACAUGCAAGUCGAACGGCAGCGGGGGAGAAGCUUGCUUUUCCUGCCGGCGAGUGGCGAACGGGUGAGUAAUACAUCGGAACGUGCCCUGUAGUGGGGGAUAACUAGUCGAAAGAUUAGCUAAUACCGCAUUCGACCUGAGGGUGAAAGUGGGGGACCGCAAGGCCUCAUGCUAUAGGAGCGGCCGAGGUCUGAUUAACUAGUUGGUGGGGUAAAGGCCUACCAAGGCGACGAUCAGUAGCUGGUCUGAGAGGACGAGCAGCCACACUGGGACUGAGACACGGCCCAGACUCCUACGGGAGGCAGCAGUGGGGAAUUUUGGACAAUGGGCGAAAGCCUGAUCCAGCAAUGCCGCGUGUGUGAAGAAGGCCUUCGGGUUGUAAAGCACUUUUGUCCGGAAAGAAAUGGCUCUGGUUAAUACCUGGGGUCGAUGACGGUACCGGAAGAAUAAGGACCGGCUAACUACGUGCCAGCAGCCGCCGUAA
Molecule: ribosomal RNA, 508 nt
Filed under: uncultured bacterium
Lineage: Bacteria
Description: partial 16S ribosomal RNA
Rfam family: Bacterial small subunit ribosomal RNA
Source: RNAcentral